ACUAAACUAAGUUUAAAAACUUUUGUCCUAAAACUCUUAUCCAAAUAUUAUAUCUUCCAUCAACAAAGUUUUUGUUUUUUGAAUCCCACAUCCUUCAACCAUUUCCAAACUAUAAAUUAAGUCCUUUUACUAAACUACUACAACUAAAAAACUUAACUGUCAACUUUAAAUUUUAAUCCCUAAUCACUAAAACCUCUAAACUACCUCUUGAACUACCAUCAUCCUAUAAUAGAUCUCAUAGUAUAUAACCUUUUGUUUUUCUAUAAAAUAUUUUUCUAUAUGGGAAAAAAAUAUCAUAAGCUUAUAAAAAGAGGAUUCAUGUAAUGUAAUAUUUCUCCAAUGUAGUUACAAAUUUAUGGUGAAUAUGUUCUUCCCAAUUUAAUUAUGUGGACACUGUUCUUGUAAAUUUGUUCUUUAUCCUUGCUCGCUCCUAGAUGAUAUCAAAUUUCUAAAACAUGAAACCUGACUGCACAUAUCGGAUUCAUCCAACC
RNAcentral lists this long non-coding RNA (491 nucleotides) under Populus trichocarpa (black cottonwood). RNAcentral's name for it is "long non-coding RNA (PTRI_LNC001791)". Lineage: Eukaryota; Viridiplantae; Streptophyta; Magnoliopsida; Malpighiales; Salicaceae. The record is from RNAcentral.